Molecule: unclassified non-coding RNA, 294 nt
Filed under: uncultured fungus
Lineage: Eukaryota; Fungi
Description: sequence contains ITS1
Source: RNAcentral
GGGACUACUGGGGUUUCUAAUCCCGUUUGCUCCCCUGGCUUUCGCGUCUCAGCGUCAGAAUGGGUCCAGAGACUCGCUUUCGCCGCGGGCGUUCCUUCCGAUCUCAACGCAUUUCACCGCUCCACCGGAAGUUCCAGUCUCCCCUACCCACCUCAAGACAACUCGUAUCAGCGCCUGUUCCCCGGUUGAGCCGGGGGAUUUCAACGACUGACGUGGUCAUCCGCCUACACGCGCUUUAAGCCCAGUAAUUCCGAAUAACGUUCGCUUGGUUCGUCUUACCGCGGCGGCUGGCAC